AUUGAACGCUGGCGGCAGGCCAACACAUGCAAGUCGAGCGGUAGAGAGAAGCUUGCUUCUCUUGAGAGCGGCGGACGGGUGAGUAAUGCCUAGGAAUCUGCAUGGUAGUGGGGGAUAACGUUCGGAAACGGACGCUAAUACCGCAUACGUCCUACGGGAGAAAGCAGGGGACCUUCGGGCCUUGCGCUAUCAGAUGAGCCUAGGUCGGAUUAGCUAGUUGGUGAGGUAAUGGCUCACCAAGGCGACGAUCCGUAACUGGUCUGAGAGGAUGAUCAGUCACACUGGAACUGAGACACGGUCCAGACUCCUACGGGAGGCAGCAGUGGGGAAUAUUGGACAAUGGGCGAAAGCCUGAUCCAGCCAUGCCGCGUGUGUGAAGAAGGUCUUCGGAUUGUAAAGCACUUUAAGUUGGGAGGAAGGGUUGUAGAUUAAUACUCUGCAAUUUUGACGUUACCGACAGAAUAAGCACCGGCUAACUCUGUGCCAGCAGCCGCGGUAAUACAGAGGGUGCAAGCGUUAAUCGGAAUUACUGGGCGUAAAGCGCGCGUAGGUGGUUUGUUAAGUUGGAUGUGAAAUCCCCGGGCUCAACCUGGGAACUGCAUUCAAAACUGACUGACUAGAGUAUGGUAGAGGGUGGUGGAAUUUCCUGUGUAGCGGUGAAAUGCGUAGAUAUAGGAAGGAACACCAGUGGCGAAGGCGACCACCUGGACUAAUACUGACACUGAGGUGCGAAAGCGUGGGGAGCAAACAGG
This 752-nucleotide ribosomal RNA is filed under the name uncultured Pseudomonas sp. RNAcentral describes it as "bacterial SSU rRNA". It matches the Rfam family "Bacterial small subunit ribosomal RNA", at positions 28 to 776 of the family's 1533-position model. Lineage: Bacteria; Pseudomonadati; Pseudomonadota; Gammaproteobacteria; Pseudomonadales; Pseudomonadaceae. The record is from RNAcentral.